This 21-nucleotide microRNA is filed under the name Schistosoma japonicum. RNAcentral's name for it is "miRNA-3055". The record is from RNAcentral. Lineage: Eukaryota; Metazoa; Platyhelminthes; Trematoda; Strigeidida; Schistosomatidae.
GGAGGAACCUUGGACGAUAAA